Molecule: long non-coding RNA, 543 nt
Filed under: Brassica napus (rape)
Lineage: Eukaryota; Viridiplantae; Streptophyta; Magnoliopsida; Brassicales; Brassicaceae
Description: long non-coding RNA (BNAP_LNC019356)
Source: RNAcentral
UGGUGGGAUUGGUCUCUAAUUUCUGGAAUCCUAGUGAACUGAGGUAGUUUUUGAGCUCUCAUAUUAUUUUCUUGUUGUUUUUGUUUCUUUUGUUCGGGAUUUUAUUUUGUACCUUGAGUCUUUUGAUCUAUUCGUGUUGAACAAAGAGGACGUGGUUGUAUUUAUAACAAUUUAUAAAUGAAUUUUUGAAUGGAUUAUGGUCUCAUGAUUUUUUCUUUUUACAUUUAGAGGGUCCUCCACAUAAAGAAAUUUAGUCUCCUUUACUUUAUUGCGUAUAUUGGGGAUGAUUGGUUGGGGCUGUAGAUGCUCUGAACAGCCAAAAUUUAGUCUACAACUAUAUAUGUUAACCAAUCGAGCUUUGCUUUCCUUAAAAAACUCACAGCAAAAAAAUCUCUGCAAAAUCAAAAUAUGGCUGUAGAGAGCUUUAUUUCCAGAGCAAAAAAUUAGUGCUUUAGAUAUCUACAGCAAGGAAAGCUAUAGCAAAUAAAUCUACAGAUUAAAUUCUACAGCAAAAAAUAUAAAGCUACAUCACUUACCAAUCAU